This 482-nucleotide ribosomal RNA is filed under the name uncultured bacterium. Its description in RNAcentral is "bacterial SSU rRNA". It matches the Rfam family "Bacterial small subunit ribosomal RNA", at positions 32 to 489 of the family's 1533-position model. The record is from RNAcentral.
AAUCAACGCUGGCGGCGUGCCUCAGACAUGCAAGUCGAACGCGAAAGUCCCCCUCGGGGGGACAAGUAGAGUGGCGCACGGGUGAGUAACACGUAGGUAAUCUACCUUCGGGUGGGGAAUAACAAUCGGAAACGGUUGCUAAUACCGCAUAAUGCAGCGGCACCUAAUGGUGACAGUUGUUAAAGCGGGGGAUCGCAAGAUCUCGCGCCUGAAGAGGAGCCUGCGGCGGAUUAGCAGUUGGUAGGGUAAUGGCCUACCAAGGCGACGAUCCGUAGCCGGCCUGAGAGGGCGGUCGGCCACACUGACACUGACGUACGGGUCAGACUCCUACGGGAGGCAGCAGUCGGGAAUUUUGGGCAAUGGGCGAAAGCCUGACCCAGCAACGCCGCGUGAAGGAUGAAAUCCCUCGGGAUGUAAACUUCGCAAGAACGGGAAGAAUAAGUUUGUGCUAAUACCACAAGCGAUGACGGUACUGUUUGUAA